GACGAACGCUGGCGGCGUGCUUAACCCAUGCCAGUCGAACGGAAAGGCCCUGCUUUUGUGGGGUGCUCGAGUGGCGAACGGGUGAGUAACACGUGAGUAACCUGCCCUUGACUUUGGGAUAACUUCAGGAAACUGGGGCUAAUACCGGAUAGGAGCUCCUGCUGCAUGGUGGGGGUUGGAAAGUUUCGGCGGUUGGGGAUGGACUCGCGGCUUAUCAGCUUGUUGGUGGGGUAGUGGCUUACCAAGGCUUUGACGGGUAGCCGGCCUGAGAGGGUGACCGGCCACAUUGGGACUGAGAUACGGCCCAGACUCCUACGGGAGGCAGCAGUGGGGAAUAUUGCACAAUGGGCGGAAGCCUGAUGCAGCAACGCCGCGUGCGGGAGGACGGCCUUCGGGUGGUAAACCGCUUUCGCCUGUGACGAAGCGUGAGUGACGGGAAUGGGGAAAGAAGCACCGGCUAACUACGU
RNAcentral lists this ribosomal RNA (467 nucleotides) under uncultured bacterium. Its description in RNAcentral is "partial 16S ribosomal RNA". It matches the Rfam family "Bacterial small subunit ribosomal RNA", at positions 28 to 506 of the family's 1533-position model. The record is from RNAcentral.